GAUGAACGCUGGCGGCGUGCCUAAUACAUGCAAGUCGAGCGAACGGACGAUAAGCUUGCUUCUCUGAUGUUAGCGGCGGACGGGUGAGUAACACGUGGAUAACCUCCCUAUCAGACUGGGAUCACUUCGGGACACCGGCGCUAAUACCGGAUGAUCUUUUGAACCGCAUGGUUCAAAAGUGAAAGACGGUCUUGCUGUCUCUUCUAGAUGGAUCCGCGCUGCAUUAGCUAGUUGGUAAGGUAACGGCUUACCAAGGCAACGAUGCAUAGCCGACCUGAGAGGGUGAGCGGCAACACUGGAAGUGAGACACGGUCCAGACGGCUAGGGGAGGCAGCAGUAGGGAAGCGUCAAGAAAGGGCGAAAGACGGACGGAGAAACGCCGCGUGAGUGAUGAAGGUCGCCGGAUCGUAAAACACGGUUAUUAGGGAAGAAAACACGUGUAAGUAAGUGGGCACAUCGUGAAGGGAAAUAAGCAGAAAGGCACGGAUAAAUAAGUG
This 497-nucleotide ribosomal RNA is filed under the name uncultured bacterium. RNAcentral describes it as "partial 16S ribosomal RNA". It matches the Rfam family "Bacterial small subunit ribosomal RNA", at positions 28 to 507 of the family's 1533-position model. The record is from RNAcentral.